Molecule: long non-coding RNA, 839 nt
Organism: Myripristis murdjan (pinecone soldierfish)
Lineage: Eukaryota; Metazoa; Chordata; Actinopteri; Holocentriformes; Holocentridae
Exons: 3
Source: RefSeq, a predicted model, not a curated record
CCAGACUCAGGAAGAAAGAAAUGUGUACAGAAACUGAGAGACACAAAGCAGCUGAAUCCCUGAGGGACGAAGUCAAAGAGGCUUUCAGAGAGAGAGAGGGAGAGAGAGAGAGAGAGAGAGAGAGACAGAGAGAGAGAGACAGACAGAGAGACACACCUUUGUCUUCUCAUGUGGAUCGUCUCUGCAGGAACAUCAAACAUUUCUCCUGAGUAGAGGGGAGGCUAAGAAAAGCCUCUGAAGUCUCGGCUGCUGAACACAGAGGAAGGAGACUCAUGUUCAGGACCUGGAUUCCUCCUCCUCCUCCUCCUCCUCCUCCUCUGCCGGAGCUCAAGCCUCAGCUGUCCGGGCAGAGACCCGCCUGAGCACUGCGACGGGGUUUGCCGGGUUGACGGUGUAGUUCGAGUCAGAGCACAGUCAGAAGUAGCCUCGUGCUGAUGUCCGUGCAGAGACGCGCUGCUGUGUGAAGCAGCGCUGGAGGUAACCGGGUGUGUCGGCCGAAGCUGCUGCUGCUGCGGCUGCUGACCACACGGCGGCGCUGCUGUCUGACGCUGAAGCUGCAUCUGACUCCAGCUCCGGUCUGAGACUGUUCACCUGUCCUCAGGUGAUAAACGUUUAGUCCUCUUCUCCCACAGAUUACAGAUUACACCGCAGCGCGCAUGUCUGUAAUCUGAGAACAGGUAGCCUAGAUCUGUCUGAUGUAGAUCUGUCUGAUGUAGAUCGACUUCAGUUUCUUCUUCUGGAAAUAAACACAGGGAUAACACAAACAUCUGUUGUGCUUUUUGUAUAAAUUCGCAGCGGCGAAACUGAAUCUCGACCUAACGGUUCUCUGAAAAUUAAUA